CAGUAAGGUUGGUAGUACAAUAGCUUUGUAAACAAGCAUUUUGCUUUCCCUGCAAAUGUCCUGGUCCUCAAGCACUCUGCACUUCAAUAGGGAGAAAGCUGCAUUCACAGAGUUCAGGUGAUGCUGGAUUUCGGCAUCAAUGUUGGCCCUUGUGGAAAGAUAACUACGCAGGGCGGAGAAGUGAUUAACACUUUCCAACAUGACACCGUUGAGUUGGAUUUGUGGCACUGCAGAGUUGUUGUUUUGUGCUUGUUGGUGCAGCACUUUGGUUUUUUUGGAUGUUGAGUGAUAGGCUAAGCUUUUCAUAAGCUUCUAUGAAGGUAUUUAAGAUGGUUUGGAGGUCAUCCUCUGAGUGUGCACACAUUACGUUGUCAUCAGUAUACUGAAGCUCUAUAACAGAACUUACAGUAACUUUACUUUUUGCUUUCAGCCUACUCAGAUUGAAGAGCUUUCCAUCUGUUCGAUACAUGAUUUCUACUCCAGUGGGCAGUUUCCCUUUGCCAAAGUGUAGGAUCAUGGCAAUGAAAAUAAUAAACAGAGUUGGGGUUGUUUAACACCUGAUCCCAUUGUGAAUGAUUCACUUUGAGAGCCAUUGUUAUCUGCUGGUUGUUGCUGUCAUAUUAUCAUGGAGGAGCUGAAUGAUGUUUAUACAUUUAUCUGGGCAGCCAAUUUUCAGAAGGACAGUCCACAGAGCAUUACAAUUUACAGUGCCGAAGGCCUUAGGUCAAUAAACACCAUAUACAGGGGUUGGCUUUGCUCUCUGCAUUUUUCUUGAAGUUGUUGAGCGGUGAAAAUCAUGUCCACUGUCCCCAUAGAAGUCCUAAAACCAUUUUGGGAUUCAGGAAGGGUAGCCUCGGAUAUUGUUAGGUUUGCUAAGAUCCUUGCAAUAAUUUUGCUGGCUGCAGCAAAUAAAGAGAUGCCUUGAUAGUUUCUGCAAUCCGUUCUAUCACCUUUUUUAAAGAAACUGAUAAUUUUGGCAUCCCUAAAAUCUGCUGGAAUCUCCUCUCCCAGAUUUUUUCGAUGAGCUUGUGAAGUUGUGUAAGUUCAAUUCUUCCCACUUUGAAGACUCAUCAGGUAUCUCAUCAGGUCCUCUGGCUUUGUUGUUUUCUCAUUUGGUUAAUAGCUGUGCACAACUCUCCCAGAUUUGGAGAUACUAAGCUGAUCUCUAAUUUGUUUUUGUGGAAUUUGUAACCUCAGCAACUAUGGGGGAGCUGCAGUUAAGGAGAUGCUGGUAAUGUUCUUUCCAGUGCUUCUUUGUCUUUUAGAAGUGUGGUACCAUCUGUUGAGCGUAGGGGGCGUAUGCCAUUAUUUAUUGGCCCAUAGAUGGUCUUUGUGGCAAAGCCUACUCCGUGUAUUUAACAUUCUUGUUCUGGUAGGCCUUUCCAGAAGAAUGUGUAGCCUCCUUUUUGUUCCUUCAGUUGUCACUCUCCUGCUCUUGAAACUCAUUCUUGAAGCACUGCCAUAAUAAUGUUAAAACGUCGCAACUCUCUUGCUUUUUUUUAAUGGGGAUAUUUGAGGUUCUACUUUGGCCAGCAGGGGGUACCAGAGCCUCGAGAACAAAAUCUAGUUCCCUUCCCUUCCAGCUGUGGAGUAAGGUGGGAUUCUGACUGCUAGGGUAAGGAAACUGGUGUGGUUUGAGUCUUACCAAACACAGUCAUUUGCUCAGGUGCAAGUCCAGGGAAGGUGGAGGGUGUGUGUGGAAAAAGCAAAGGAAGAGUAGUGCCUAUUGAAACCACUGUGGAGCCAGCCUGGGCACAACUGUGCAUUAGGUAGUUCCUUCUUUAGUUUAUGUGGGACAUGGGUGGCGCUGUGGGUUAAACCACAGAGCCUAGGACUUGCCAGUCAGAAGGUCAGCGGUUUGAAUCCCCGCGACGGGGUGAGCUCCCGUUGCUCGGUCCCUGUUCCUGCCAGGGAACCUAGCAGUUUGAAAGCACGUCAAAGUGCAAGUAGAUAAAUAGGUACCGCUUCGGCGGGAAGGGAAACGGCGUUUCCGUGCGCUGCUCUGGUUUGCCAGAAGCGGCUUAGUCAUGCUGGCCACAUGACCCAGAAGCUGUACGCCAGCUCCCUCGGCCAAUAAAGCGAGACGAGCGCCACAACCCCAGAGUUGUCCGUGACUGGACCUAAUGGUCAGGGGUCCCUUUACCUUUACCUUUUCUUUAGUUUAUACCCCUCUGGGGGGAACAGUCUCUUAAGUGCCAAGACAGACAGAGCCCAGAUUGAGACCCACAACUAGUGAUGUUAAAUUCUCGAGAAUAGUCUUUAAAUGUACACACCUCAUUAAUCGAGAAUAUUCUCGAGAAUAUUCUCGAUUAUUGAAGUGUGUACAUUUAAAGCAGCUGUGUAGAUGACACAGAAUUUACAGUUUGUGGAUGAUAUUCUCCAGAGAAUUUUCUAGCAGAGAAUAUUCUCACCCCACCUCACUACCCACAACUGCCUCUAGGCACAGCAGGAUCCUGGAUGCUGUGGAAGGGGUUUAUCCAGGGGUUUCCCUUACCAUUUCACCCCCUGAGGUGAAACGAGAAUAUGCUGCCCUGUGCAUGCACUGCACCCCUACCCCUUUGCCAAAGCCUCACUUACUGGGGUCAUGCAGCUGUGGCUUCCAGGUUCUGGAAAGAACUUGCAAGAGCCCUCUGAGAUUGUGAGAACCCUGGGAGAUUGUCAAGAUGCAUCUCUACAAUCUCGAGGGGCUCUUGCAUGAUCUCGCUGGAUUCUGGAAGCUGCAGCAGCCACUUCUCCAUGCUUCUCUUCUGGCGAACAACUGUGUAGCAGAGAUUGCCAAGUAAAAGCUAGCACACACCAUGCACUCACAGUAAUUACAUUGGCUACAAGUUGUGCACUCUCUGAGCCCAGAGAGAGUUAUUUGCUUUCAAAGUCCUUGUUGUGCCAAAGUCCACAAGGUACGUGCUAAGUCUAGCUGCUUUCAAAGUCCUGCAACUUUCAGAGUUCUCUGAGUCCAGACAUCUUUUAAGUUGUCCAACUUCUUUCUGGUGAACGCUUCUCUUCACAAAGUUUUCUAAAUAUUUCCAACAAAUUCUCCUACAGGGAAAUGCCGUAACUUGAGCCCUUUACAUACCCAGCUCUAUGUGCUUAUCUGCACAGCAACACAGUAAAGACAAGAGUUACAAGAGUCUGCAGCUGCACCUGCACCGUGUGUGGGGAAUCAUUUCUGCCCACUCAAGUGAAAUUAACAUUUUUUCACUUUCCCCCUCCCUCCCUUCUUGAAAGGAGCCUUUCCCCAACUAAACUGCACCUGGUGCGUGUGUGCAGCUCUUCCUUGAAAGUGCUGAUGGGGUAACAGGCUUUGCUUAGUGUGCUUUUGGGACUUGCUAGUGAUCAUGAAGGUGCUCAUGUCUGCCAACUGCUUCUUUCCCCUGGACCAAAUGCAGAGGUUGUACGCUUUGGGCUUUCUUUGACAUUGCCUGCAUGAUCUCUAAACAUCCAGAAGUGGAACAUUGCUCCAGGAUUGGCCAAGUCAGGAGGUGUGCCUGGGGAUUCUGCUGUGGUCACUGCUGCCACUACUGCUGAGCAUUGACCCUCAAGCCUGAUAAUCAUGUGAUCCUCUAAGCUGAUCUGAGGAUCAUAGGCUGGCUUACAAUAUAAAAACACAAAAAUAUGUACCAUAACAGAGGAGGCACAUGAAGAAGGGCCUCAGAUGAUAAUCAACAGCUUAAUAACUCUACUUAAAAACUUCCAAGGAGCGAGAAUCCACAAUGUUCCCCAGACCUUAAACUUUAUUAUGAAUCAGCAGCUUUUUGCUGGCUGAAAGAAUGGCUGCUUCUUGAAAACACAGACAUUUUGGACUUAGAAGGUUUUAAUAAUGUAUUUGGAUGGCAUGCAUAUUUGUGGUAUGAUAAGGUCAAAGCACAUAAAGCAUUUAAAAAAUCAUAUUGUCAGGAAAGCAUUGUUUAAUGUCUGGAUAAGAUAUAAGGAUCUAUUGGAAAAUAAAACCCCAAGGUGGCUGUCACCAAUGGAAGCGAAAGCACAGAAAAAGCUCAAUAUGGAGGCCAAAUGGCCGAAAUAUUGGGAAAUUCUGGAACAAGAGGGAGAUAGAUUGAAACUGCAGAGUUUUGAGAAACUAAAAAACAAAGUGCGAGAUUGGCUUCAUUAUUAUCAGAUAAUGGAGGCAUAUAAUUCGGACAAGAAAAUUGGCUUCCAGGUGGAAAAAUCAAAAUUAGAAACAGAACUGUUAGAACCCAAAACUAAGAUUUUGUCAAAGAUGUAUAACUUGCUGUUGAAAUGGAAUACUCAGGAUGAAACGGUGAAAUCUGCUAUGAUUAAAUGGGCACAAGAUGUUGGACAUAACAUAAUGAUGGCUGACUGGGAACAGUUAUGGACCACAGGUAUGAAGUUUACGGCAUGUAAUGCCUUAAGAGAGAAUAUUAUGAAAAUGAUAUACAGGUGGUACAUGACACCAGUCAAGCUUGCAAAAAUCUAUCAUUUGCCCGAUAAUAAAUGUUGGAAAUGUAGAGAAACUGAAGGUACAUUCUAUCACCUUUGGUGGACGUGCCCAAGGAUUAAGGCUUUCUGGGAGAUGAUUUAUAAUGAAAUGAAAAAGGUAUUUAAAUAUACCUUCUUGAAGAAACCAGAGGCCUUCCUCCUGGGCAUAGUCGGCCAAUUGGUGCCAAAGAAGGACAGAACUUUCUUUAUGUAUGCCACAACAGCAGCAAGAAUACUUAUUGCAAAAUACUGGAAGACACAAGAUUUACCCACCCUGGAAGAAUGGCAGAUGGACUAUAUGGAAUUGGCGGAAAUGACUGGCAGAAUCCGAGACCAGGGAGAAGAGUCGGUGGAAGAAGAUUGGAAGAAAUUUAAAGACUAUUUACAGAAAUACUGCAAAAUUAAUGAAUGUUAGAAUGAUGUCAGAAUGAAGUUAAGUGGUUUUAGCAGCAAUGUCAUAAAGGUGUAUGUAAAAAUGGAUUGUUAAUAGGUGAGAAUCCAAAGCUAUAAUAUAUUAAGUUAAAGGAUUAAGACAAAAACAAAGAGGGAAAGGAAUUGCUGAAUUAACCAACUGAACUGGAAUACAAAAAAGGGAGGUGAGAGGAGGUCAGGGAAGCAAGGAAAUGAAAUGUAAGGUACGGAAAGAUUGAUUUGUUUUUAAGUGUUUUUUAUUUUAUUUUUUUCUGUAUUUUGUAUUUUGUAUUUUUUUCCUUUUUCCUUUUUUCUCUUGUUUCUUUUCUUUUUAUCUAUGUAAUCUUUUGUUUCUGAAACUUUAAUAAAUAUCAUUUUUUU
This is a non-coding RNA of Podarcis lilfordi (Lilford's wall lizard), 5229 nucleotides long. NCBI's taxonomy places the organism in Eukaryota, Metazoa, Chordata, Lepidosauria, Squamata, Lacertidae. The record is from the annotation of a GenBank genome assembly.